GUCGUAACAAGGUAGCCGUACCGGAAGGUGCGGCUGGAUCACCUCCUUUCUAAGGAGCUUUAUUUUAUGGUUCUCGCACCAACAGGGGUGUUUGAGGCCUUCUUUUUGAAUCCGGGUGGAGAUCAACCCGUUUGAGAGUCGUCGGUUUGGCGAUCGUGUGACAUGGUUUGGUUCAUUGCGUUGUUGGGUGUCUGGAACAGCAUGCGGAAGCGUGGUUGUUUCUAGUGGGGUUCUUGUGGCCGGCUUGCAUGUGAGUGUGUGGUUGGUUGUGGGUGUCCCGAGUCCUUGUGACUGUGUUGUUUGAGAACUGUAUAGUGGACGCGAGUAUCUUCUUUUUUGAUGCAAUUUUGUAAGUAUUUGAUUGAAUACUGAUUGUGCGGUAUGGCCUUUGUGUUGGAUCGUAUCUUUUUGUGUUCAUCUGAUGCGUUCUUAGUGUUGUGUGUUAAGGGCGCACGGUGGAUGCCUUGGC
This 469-nucleotide unclassified non-coding RNA is filed under the name uncultured bacterium. RNAcentral's name for it is "partial contains 16S ribosomal RNA, 16S-23S ribosomal RNA intergenic spacer, and 23S ribosomal RNA". The stretch from base 1 to 49 matches the Rfam family "Bacterial small subunit ribosomal RNA", at positions 1485 to 1533 of the family's 1533-position model. The record is from RNAcentral.